This 453-nucleotide ribosomal RNA is filed under the name uncultured bacterium. RNAcentral's name for it is "bacterial SSU rRNA". It matches the Rfam family "Bacterial small subunit ribosomal RNA", at positions 28 to 362 of the family's 1533-position model. The record is from RNAcentral.
GAUGAACGCUGGCGGCGUGCUUAACACAUGCAAGUCGAGCGGGCAAUUUAUCUAGCACUGAUUACUUCAAAUGGCUAUCGCCAGUGUAAUCAUGAAUUUCUACCUUAUAAUAAAGAAAAAAGAAAUUCAUGUACGCAAAUAGUGAUAACACAUGAAAGUGGAGUGAUGAGUGCUGGAUAAAUUGCUAGCGGCGGACGGGUGCGUAACACGUGGGUAACCUGCCCCUAUCACUGGGAUAACACACUGAAAAGUGUGCUAAUACCAGAUAAUAUAAGCUUUUGGCAUCAUUAGCUUAUCAGAGAAUUUCGGAUAGGGAUGGGCCCGCGUCUGAUUAGCUAGUUGGUGAGGUAACGGCUCACCAAGGCAAUGAUCAGUAGCCGACCUGAGAGGGUGAUCGGCCACACUGGAACUGAGACACGGUCCAGACUCCUACGGGAGGCAGCAGUGGGGAAU